CAUGGCUAGUGUCUGCUCAUUGCUUUCAUGGUUUAACCCCUGAAGUGUUUUUCAAGGAACUUAUAUGGACUAUGAUUAACCAAAGUGCUUUUUACACUAAAUUUGAGAGUUCAAGAAUCAGUUUCUGUCCUGUUUCCUGGAGCAUGGGGUUUUCUACAUAAAUGAUGUUUCAGAACUUGAGUGGCUAAGCUUUUUAAUUCUGAUUUUGCAUCUUAUACGUACCUUUAGCUAUGCUUCUUUAAUAUUUUACCUGGCAUAUGAUUUAACACAGUACGUAUAGGAUGGUGACAACAACAAUAGUCGUUUGAUUUCAGGUUCUGGUAACCCUCUCCUCUCUUUUUUUGUUUCUUUCUUUUGUUCUUUUUGCUAAUUAAGUAGUUUAGGAUUUAAGCGAUGGGUGAAAACUAGGUCUUUUUUUCUAGUGUCUGAACUCUGCUUGCACGUUUUUCUUGGGACCCCAACUUAUCAAGGAACAUUUAUGGACUGCAAUUUAUUUGGAGUGUUUGAUUCAUUACUUACUCCUUUCCUUUUUCUACCUGUAUCUUUCUGUCUUGCUUUAGAAUUUUGAGUGCUUAGUCCAAGAUACCAAUCGUGUAUCUAAUUUCCAGAAGCAUGAAUGUGAACAGUUGUCUUCAUUACAUGACGUUUUGGAAGCCACGGUCUGUAUUUGUUUGUUACAGAGUUUCUACUUCUCUAAUGGAGGUAGGGUUUGACCUUUUGAUUCUGUUUUUGUUUGUGGCUCCCAGGCCUCUAUAGUUUUUGAAUGGAAAAUAGAAUGUGUUUCUCAAGUGCUCAAGGAAUUAAUUAACUAUUGGCCUUGCUUGUGCUGCGUUCUUUUAUUUUCACUCUGUGCAGAUGUUCUGUAGCUGAUCACUUGACUACAGUAACGGAAAAAGCAUCUUUAACCUUGAUUUUGCAUUUGGAUCAAGGAUUUUGCAUGUUUUUCCAGGAUUAGUUGGUUUUCGACUAACAUGAUCACGGACACUUCCAGGAGUCUAUCAACUGCUUUAAGGAAGCGUGCUGAAGUUCUCUGAGGCUUUGGCAGUGGUUUAUUGUUCCCUUCUGCCAGCUUCAUAAUUACUAACCUCGUCAAUACGGCUGUUUGGUUUGCUCUUUUUAUCUCCAUGUGCUUUUCAACUUCUAACAGCUCUUACACAAUUGCUUGUCUUGUUUUAAUUUGUGCAGAUACUUAUCUAGAUGAUUAUGUUUUCAACAAGAUUACAUCAAUUGUUUCCUAGCUGGCUUUUUUAUUUGCCUUCUGGUUUGAGAUCAAGACAGGUGUUUCUUUACUUUUCUAUUUCAUUCUAGUCAAGAAGAAGAAUUUCCUAAAUUAUAACUAUUUUUUGAGCUCAAGUGAAUUUAUAAGUGAAGCAUCUAUUUUUUUCUUCUCGUCUUCAUAAUGUUGUAAAUAUGCAUUGGUAUCGUGUUGGCAUUCCCAUUCAAGAGUUUUCUUGAAUUGAGUUUGUUAUUCUCGAACUUCCUUGAAACCUUGAUUUUUGAUAGGUGACUUUAGAGUCCUUGAUGCUUGGUGAUGCUUUAGGAUCCUAAAUGAGCUUUCUUUUCAAGCUUAUACUCUUCCCUACGAAACAGUUUAUCAUUCUUCUUUGGUGAUUGUGGUUGACUGAUCAGCUUCUUAUUGGGAUACUGGCAAGUACUUGUAGGAAAGCCUUCGAAGGAUUUCUUGUUCUUUUCGUUUAUGUUUCUUGGUGCUUGAGUUUUGUGAGAACAGAUGAACACAGAAUGAAGCAUGUGUGGUAUGUAACAGCUGGGUGUUAUGUAACAGCUGGUCUGGCCCUUUUCCUCUUCCAUAAAUUGUUUGGAUACAGCAUGAUUCUUUCUUUGGUGAUAUUUGGGAUCAGUUAAUGGAGGUGCAGUCUCAGACAUUCUUGCGAAGUGUUUUUUUUUGUUGCUCCAUUCCGUGCUAGAAGUACUUGGUUCUUUGAAUACUUGCUGGCUCAAGAUAUUUGAUCCAUGUAACAUCCUUUGCUUUAUGAACUCUUUUCAUGGUUUUGAAAUUUGUAUCAGUUUCCUAUUGUUUUUCUGGGACUGAACGCUUCUAGAAGGCUAAUUCUUAUGUCCUUUUGCGUUCAUAUAAAUUGCUGGUGUUUGCUC
Molecule: long non-coding RNA, 2112 nt
Organism: Populus trichocarpa (black cottonwood)
Lineage: Eukaryota; Viridiplantae; Streptophyta; Magnoliopsida; Malpighiales; Salicaceae
Exons: 2
Source: RefSeq, a predicted model, not a curated record